RNAcentral lists this ribosomal RNA (1995 nucleotides) under Penttilamyces romellii. RNAcentral describes it as "eukaryotic LSU rRNA". The stretch from base 625 to 1995 matches the Rfam family "Eukaryotic large subunit ribosomal RNA", at positions 1 to 1339 of the family's 3401-position model. Lineage: Eukaryota; Fungi; Basidiomycota; Agaricomycetes; Boletales; Coniophoraceae. The record is from RNAcentral.
GUAACAUGUUUCCGUAGGUGNACUUGCGGAAGGAUCAUUAUCGAUUCUCCUGAGGGGUGAUUGGAGCUGUGCUGGCUAACCACUGGGUAGCAUGUGCACGCUUCGUCGCCUUUCUUCCACACACCUGUGCACCCACUGUAGGUCUCGAGAGAGACCUAUGUUUUCAUCACACCCCAACGUAUGUUUAUAGAAUGUAACCUUUAUCAAUCAUCUGCUGCUUCGCAAGGAGCGGACGGUGACUAUAUUAUAACUUUCAGCAACGGAUCUCUUGGCUCUCGCAUCGAUGAAGAACGCAGCGAAUUGCGAUAUGUAAUGUGAAUUGCAGAUUUUCAGUGAAUCAUCGAAUCUUUGAACGCACCUUGCGCUCCUUGGUAUUCCGAGGAGCAUGCCUGUUUGAGUGUCAUUAAAUUCUCAACCCCUUCGAUUAGCUUCGAAGUGGGCUUGGACUGUGGGGGCUUGCUGGUGACCACUGGGUUGUCGGCUCCCCUGAAAUGCAUCUGCGGUUAGCGACGCGCAUGAAUGGCUUUUUCGGUGUGAUAAUGAUCACCGUUUGGCUACAACUGCAACAAAGUCCUUUCUGCCUCUAGCUCUGUACACGCUAGUCGUGACAACUCCCUGAAACUUUGACCUCAAAUUCAGGUAGGAUUACCCGCUGAACUUAAGCAUAUCAAUAAGCGGAGGAAAAGAAACUAACAAGGAUUCCCCUAGUAACUGCGAGUGAAGCGGGAAAAGCUCAAAUUUUGAAUCUGGUGGUCCUUGUGGCCGUCCGAGUUGUAAUCUAGAGAAGUGCUUUCCGCGCUGGACCGUGUACAAGUCUCCUGGAAGGGAGCGUCAUAGAGGGUGAGAAUCCCGUCUCUGACACGGACUACCAGGGCUUCUGUGAUGCGCUCUCGACGAGUCGAGUUGUUUGGGAAUGCAGCUCAAAUUGGGUGGUAAAUUCCAUCUAAAGCUAAAUACAGGCGAGAGACCGAUAGCGAACAAGUACCGUGAGGGAAAGAUGAAAAGAACUUUGGAAAGAGAGUUAAACAGUACGUGAAAUUGCUGAAAGGGAAACGCUUGAAGUCAGUCGCGUUGGUCGGGGAUCAGCCUUGCUCUUUUGCUAGGUGCACUUCCUGGUCGACGGGUCAGCAUCAGUUUCGAUCGCCGGAUAAAGGCCGAGUUGAAUGUGGCGCUCUUCGGAGCGUGUUAUAGCUCUCGGUCGGAUACGGUGGUUGGGACUGAGGAACUCAGCACGGCCCCUCGAGGGUUUGGGGCUUCGGCUCACAUUUCGUGCUUAGGAUGCUGGCAUAAUGGCUUUAAGCGACCCGUCUUGAAACACGGACCAAGGAGUCUAACAUGCCCGCGAGUGUUUGGGUGUUUAAAACCCGAGCGCGCAAUGAAAGUGAAAGUUGAGACCUCUGUCGUGGAGGGCAUCGACGCCCGGACCUGAGCUUCUGCGACGGAUCUGCGGUAGAGCGUGUAUGUUGGGACCCGAAAGAUGGUGAACUAUGCCUGAAUAGGGUGAAGCCAGAGGAAACUCUGGUGGAGGCUCGUAGCGAUUCUGACGUGCAAAUCGAUCGUCGWAUUUGGGUAUAGGGGCGAAAGACUAAUCGAACCAUCUAGUAGCUGGUUCCUGCCGAAGUUUCCCUCAGGAUAGCAGAAACUCAUGUCAGAUUUAUGUGGUAAAGCGAAUGAUUAGAGGCCUUGGGGUUGAAACAACCUUAACCUAUUCUCAAACUUUAAAUAUGUAAGAACAAGCCGUCUCUUGGUUGGACCGCUUGGCGAUAGAGAGUUUCUAGUGGGCCAUUUUUGGUAAGCAGAACUGGCGAUGCGGGAUGAACCGAACGGGAGGUGAAGGUGCCGGAAUACACGCUCAUCAGACACCACAAAAGGUGUUAGUUCAUCUAGACAGCANGACAGUGGGCAUGGAAAGUCGGAAUCCGCUAAGGAGUGUGUAACAACUCCCCUGCCGCAAUGACUUGCCCCUGNNAAAUGGAAUGGCGCCCCAAGCGUGGU